AGAGUUGAUCAGUGGCUCAGGACGAACGCUGGCGGCGUGCCUAACACAUGCAAGUCGAACGGAGCUGAGAAGCUUGCUUUCAGCUUAGUGGCGGACGGGUGAGUAACGCGUGAGUAACCUGCCUCCGAGAGUGGAAUAACGUUUUGAAAAGAACGCUAAUACCGCAUAACGUAUCAGUAUCGCAUGGUAUAGAUACCAAAGAUUUUAUCGCUCGGAGAUGGACUCGCGUCCGAUUAGUUAGUUGGUGAGGUAACGGCUCACCAAGACCGCGAUCGGUAGCCGGACUGAGAGGUUGAUCGGCCACAUUGGGACUGAGACACGGCCCAGACUCCUACGGGAGGCAGCAGUGGGGGAUAUUGCGCAAUGGGGGCAACCCUGACGCAGCAACGCCGCGUGAAGGAUGAAGGUUUUCGGAUUGCAAACUUCUUUUAUCAGGGACGAAAAACGACGGUACCUGAUGAAUAAGCUCCGGCUAACUACGUGCCAGCAGCGGC
This 494-nucleotide ribosomal RNA is filed under the name uncultured bacterium. RNAcentral describes it as "bacterial SSU rRNA". It matches the Rfam family "Bacterial small subunit ribosomal RNA", at positions 8 to 518 of the family's 1533-position model. The record is from RNAcentral.